Molecule: long non-coding RNA, 209 nt
Filed under: Panax ginseng (ginseng)
Lineage: Eukaryota; Viridiplantae; Streptophyta; Magnoliopsida; Apiales; Araliaceae
Description: long non-coding RNA (PGIN_LNC004164)
Source: RNAcentral
UACAAUAUACCACAAAAAUUCUUGGUUAUUACAAGUGCCCUAAAGCCAUUUAGUUUGGGAUUCAUUGGUCCAAAACUCGUUACAUUAGUAGCUCCGAAUAGCCUAAGAGAACGAGACAAGUUAAUCAAGAAGAAAAAGAAAAGAAAAUAUAGAAUGAAAACGAUGAAAAUAUUUGCGAUUCAAAAUGAGAUCAUCUAAAGUCAUGGAAG